Molecule: ribosomal RNA, 301 nt
Filed under: uncultured bacterium
Lineage: Bacteria
Description: partial 16S ribosomal RNA
Rfam family: Bacterial small subunit ribosomal RNA
Source: RNAcentral
CAGCCGCCGCGGUAAUACGAAGGGGGCUAGCGUUGCUCGGAAUGACUGGGCGUAAAGGGCGCGUAGGUGGUUAUGUAAGUGAGAUGUGAAAUCCCCGGGCUCAACCUGGGAACUGCAUCUUAUACUGCGUAGCUGGAGUGCAGUAGAGGGUAGUGGAAUUUCCGGUGUAGCAGUGAAAUGCGUAGAGAUGUGGAGGAAUACCGAUGGCGAAGGCAGCCCCCUGGGCCAAUACUGACGCUCAUGCACGAAAGCGUGGGGAGCAAACAGGAUUAGAGACCCCAGUAGUCCCUGUCUCUUAUAC